GACGAACGCUGGCGGCGUGCCUAAUACAUGCAAGUAGGACGAGUUGCGAGCGGGUGAGUGACGCGUGGUAACCUGCCUAUUAGAGGGGGGUAACUGUUGGAAACGAUAGCUAAUACCGCCUACUAGUGAUUGGACCUUCGUUGUAUUAGCUAGUAGGUAGGGUAAUGGCCUACCUAGGCGACGAUACCUAGCCGACCUGAGAGGGUGAUCGGCCACACUGGAACUGAGACACGGUCCAGACUCCGACGGGAGGCAGCAGUGGGGAAUAUUGCACAAUGGGCGCAAGCCUGAUGCAGCCAUGCCGCGUGUAUGAAGAAGGCCUUCGGGUUGUAAAGUACUUUCAGCGGGGAGGCGUUACCCGCAGAAGAAGCACCGGCUAACUCCGUGCCAGCAGCCGCGGUAAUAC
This 406-nucleotide ribosomal RNA is filed under the name uncultured bacterium. Its description in RNAcentral is "partial 16S ribosomal RNA". It matches the Rfam family "Bacterial small subunit ribosomal RNA", at positions 28 to 526 of the family's 1533-position model. The record is from RNAcentral.